RNAcentral lists this ribosomal RNA (370 nucleotides) under uncultured cyanobacterium. Its description in RNAcentral is "bacterial SSU rRNA". It matches the Rfam family "Bacterial small subunit ribosomal RNA", at positions 376 to 760 of the family's 1533-position model. The record is from RNAcentral. Lineage: Bacteria; Bacillati; Cyanobacteriota.
CGAAAGCCUGACGGAGCAAUACCGCGUGGGGGAGGAAGGUUCUUGGAUUGUAAACCCCUUUUCUCAGGGAAGAACGCAAUGACGGUACCUGAGGAAUCAGCAUCGGCUAACUCCGUGCCAGCAGCCGCGGUAAUACGGAGGAUGCAAGCGUUAUCCGGAAUGAUUGGGCGUAAAGCGUCCGCAGGUGGCAGUUCAAGUCUGCUGUUAAAGACUGGGGCUUAACCCUGGAAAGGCAGUGGAAACUGAACAGCUAGAGUGCGGUAGGGGCAGAGGGAAUUCCUGGUGUAGCGGUGAAAUGCGUAGAGAUCAGGAAGAACAUCGGUGGCGAAGGCGCUUUGCUGGACCAUAACUGACACUCAGGGACGAAAGC